GGUGGUUCUCGGGUGAUGCACCUGGCUCCCUCCUCUCUGGUUCUGGGGUGCAUCACCCAAGAACCGCC
Myotis brandtii (Brandt's bat) is the source of this 68-nucleotide non-coding RNA. Lineage: Eukaryota; Metazoa; Chordata; Mammalia; Chiroptera; Vespertilionidae. The record is from Rfam.